This 1612-nucleotide ribosomal RNA is filed under the name human gut metagenome. RNAcentral describes it as "bacterial LSU rRNA". It matches the Rfam family "Bacterial large subunit ribosomal RNA", at positions 774 to 2410 of the family's 2925-position model. The record is from RNAcentral.
CCGAACCGACCCCCGUUGAAACGUUGGCGGAUGACUUGUGGCUAGGGGUGAAAUUCCAAUCGAACCCGGAGAUAGCUGGUUCUCCCCGAAAUAGCUUUAGGGCUAGCGUCGCAGCGAGAGAGCCGUGAAGGUAGAGCACUGAAUAUGCGAUGGCCGCAUCCCGCGGUACUGAGCAUAAUCAAACUCCGAAUGUCACGGUGUCAUCUGCGGCAGUCAGACGGCGAGUGAUAAGGUCCGUCGUCAAGAGGGAAACAGCCCAGACCAUCAGCUAAGGUCCCAAAGUGCAUGCUAAGUGGAAAAGGAAGUGGAGACGUGCAGACAACUAGGAGGUUGGCUCAGAAGCAGCCAUCCUUCAAAGAGUGCGUAACAGCUCACUAGUCGAAUGACUCUGCGCCGAUAAUUUACCGGGGCUAAGCAUGACACCGAAGCUAUGGACAGGAAUGUGGUAGGGGAGCAUUGCAUGCAGCGGAGAAGCAUGACCGAAAGGGCAUGUGGAGCGCAUGGAAGAGAGAAUGCCGGCGUGAGUAGCGGCACGUGGGUGAGAAUCCCACGCACCGAUGGCCCAAGGUCUCCAGAGGAAGGCUCGUCCUCUCUGGGAUAGUCGGGACCUAAGGCGAGGCCGAAAGGCGUAGCCGAUGGACGACGGGUGGAUAUUCCCGUACCCGAUGUGUGGCGAUGGAGUGACGGAGAAGGCUCAGGCAACCAGCUGCUGGAAUAGCUGGGGCAAGCGAGAUACCUGCGCACCAGGGAAAUCCGGUGCGCAUAAGGGGAAGGCGCGAUGCAUACGGAAAGCUUCGGCAAGUACGGAAAAGCUGAGAGCAGGCUUCCAGGAAAAGCUUCUAGCACAACACACAUCGGCCCGUACCGAAAAUGGACACACAUGGGCAAGGAGAGAAUCCUGAGGUGAGCGAGAGAACUAUAGCUAAGGAACUCUGCAAAAUGACCCCGUAACCUAGGGAGAAGGGGUGCUCCAGAAAUGGAGCCGCAGUAAAACGGCCCAAGCGACUGUUUACCAAAAACACAGCUCUCUGCGAAGGCGCAAGCCGAAGUAUAGGGGGUGACGCCUGCCCGGUGCUGGAAGGUCAAGGGGAGCUGUCAGCGCAAGCGAAGCAGCGAGCCGAAGCCCCAGUAAACGGCGGCCGUAACUAUAACGGUCCUAAGGUAGCGAAAUUCCUUGUCGGGCAAGUUCCGACCCGCACGAAAGGCGUAACGAUUUGGGCGCUGUCUCAGCUGUAGACUCGGUGAAGUCUUAGUACCUGUGAAGAUGCAGGUUGCCCGCGACUAGACGGAAAGACCCCAUGGAGCUUCACUGCAGGUUGACAUUGGGCUUGGAUGCAUGAUGUACAGGAUAGGUGGGAGGCUGUGAGCCGUGCGCGCCAGCGUACGGGGAGCCGCUGUUGGGAUACCACCCUUCAUGCAUCUAGGUCCUAACCGGAGGCAACGGGCCACGGGACAGUGUCAGUCGGGCAGUUUGACUGGGGCGGUCGCCUCCCAAAGAGUAACGGAGGCGCCCAAAGAUACCCUCAGCAUGGAUGGAAACCAUGCAUAGAGUGCAAAGGCAUAAGGGUGUCUGACUGCGAGACAUACAGGUCGAGCAGGGACGAAAGUCGGG